AAAAAAAAAGGUCUCCCCUCCAAGCCAUCCCUGGCCUCCCCGUACCUGCCUGAGGGGACCUCCAAACCACUGUCCAACAAGCCCAUCAAAGCACUGGUGUACAUGCCACACCCCGAGUCCCUCUCAAAACCAUCUCCCUCUCUGGUGGGGGAGGCAACGAAACCAUCAGCCCCAUCCGAGGGGUCCCUGAAGGUCGUGGCUUCGUCCCCAGCAGCCACCAACUCCGAGGUGAAAAUGACCAGCUUUGCGGAACGCAAGAAACAGCUGGUGAAGGCAGAGGCAGAGGCUGAGGCUGGAGCAGGGUCCCCCACGUCCACUCCAGCCCCGCCGAAGGCCCUGAGUUCAGAGAUGAGUGAGCUUGGUGCCCGGCUGGAGGAGAAACGCAGAGCCAUUGAGGCUCAGAAGCGACGGAUUGAGGUCAUCUUCGGCAAGCACCGCCAGCAGCUGGGCAAAAGCGCCUUCCUACAGGUGCAGCCAAGGGAGGCUUCUGGGGAGGCGGAGGCCGAGGCCGACCCAGGCCCAGUCCCUGGUGGGGAGCGGCCGGCGGGCGAGGGCCAGGGUGAGCCAACUUCACGGCCCAAGGCAGUGACCUUCUCGCCAGACCUGGGUCCGCUGCCCCCCGAGGGGCUGGGGGAAUACAAUCGAGCGGUCAGCAAGCUGAGUGCUGCUUUCAGCUCGCUGCAGCGGAACAUGCAGAGGCUCACGGACCAGCAGCAGCGGCUGCUGGCCCCGCCGGAGGCCCCUGGACCCGCCCCGCCCCCUGCUGCAUGGAUCAUCCCUGGCCCCACGACGACGGGGCCAAAAGCCUUGUCCCCCAGCUCCGCCCGGCGAGUCCCGGCCACUCGGCGCAGCCCUGGGCCCGGGCCCAGCCAGUCACCCCAAAGCCCGAAACACACCCAGCCGGCGGAGCUGCGGCUGGCGCCCCUGACCAGGGUGCUCACACCACCCCACGACGUAGACAGCCUCCCCCACCUGCGCAAGUUCUCCCAGAGCCAGGUGCCUGUGCAGACGCACUCCUCCAUCCUCCUGGCAGAGGGGAUGCCCCACGAGGAGCCAGCCGCCCUGCCGGCCUCAUCGAGAUCCCGCUGGGCAGCCUGGCAGAUCCCGCCGCUGAGGAGAGGGGAGACGGGAGUCACCCUGGUGCUGAGGAUUCCUUGGAAGAGGAGGCGUCUUCAGAGGGGGAGCCCAGAGCAGGGCUGGGGUUCUUCUACAAGGAUGAAGACAAGCGUGAGGACGAGAUGGCUCAAAAGCUGGCCAGCCUGCUGGAGCGGCCGCAGCAGCGAGCAGAGGAGGCGCGGCGGCGCAAGCAGUGGCAGGAGGCGGAGAAGGAACCGCGGAGGGAGGAGGCCGCGAGGCUGGCCCAUGAUGAGGCCCCUGGCCCAGCACCAGCCGUGUCCACAGUCCCUGCAGCCCCCAUGGCUACCCCGGCCCCUGCUGCCCGGGCUCCAGCCGAGGAGGAGGUGAGCCCCCGGCGGGGGGACUUCACGCGGCUGGAGUACAAGCGCCCGGCCCAGCUGAAGCUGAUGGGCGACCUUGAUAAGGUGCUGCGGCCCGGGGCUGCGGGGUCCGGGGGCCCGGGUCCGGGCGGGCGGAGGGCGCCCCGGCCUCGCUCAGGUUGCUGUGACGACUCGGCCCUGGCGCGAAGCCCAGCACGCAGCCUGCUGGGCUCUCGGCUUAGCAAAAUCUAUUCCCAGUCCACCCUGUCACUGUCCACUGUGGCCAACGAGGUCCCCAAUAACCUCGGGGUGAAGAGGCCCACGUCUCGGGCUCCCUCCCCAUCGGGCCUCAUGUCCCCAAGCCGCCUGCCUGGGAGCCGUGAACGGGACUGGGAGAAUGGCAGCAAUGCCUCCUCCCCAGCGUCGGUGCCCGAGUACACAGGUCCACGGCUGUGCAAGGAGCCUAGUGCCAAGUCCAACAAGUUCAUCAUCCAUAACGCCCUGUCAUACUGCCGCCUGGCAGGAAAGGUGAACAAACCGCAGAAGAACCGCAUUCUGGAGGAAAUUGAGAAAAGCAAGGCCAACCACUUCCUGAUCCUCUUUUGUGGCUCGAGCUGCCAGUUCCGGGCGCUCUACACACUGUCAGGGGAGACGGAGGAGCUGUCGCGGCUGGCGGGCUUUGGGCCCCGGACCAUCACACCCGCCAUGGUGGAAGGCAUCUACAAGUACAACUCGGACCGCAAGCGCUUCACCCAGAUCCCCGCCAAGACCAUGUCCAUGAGCGUUGAUGCCUUCACCAUCCAGGGACACCCCUAGCAGGGCAAGAAACCCACCACUCCCAAGAAGGGCGGCAGCACCCCAAAUAGCCCCACUCGGGGCUGGGCCCCGUGUGCUGUGGCCGCCGCCUCCCAGAGGACAGUGAGUGGGUAUUCCUGGGUCCUGUCUGUCCCCAGCUGUGUCUGGGUGGGGCUGGAGCCUCCACACUCUGACUUUGGGUCCAGUCCUGCUGUGGGGGCUGAGCUGGGAGGUUCAGGGACUCAGGGCUCAGCUCAGUCCCCUUGUCUGUCCUCCCCCACUUCUUGAAUAAAAUAAUUUAAAGAGAAAAAAAAAUGAAAAAAGCUUCCUUUUUUUUUUUUUUUUUUUUUUUAGGUUCGGCACAUACAUUUUAUUUGACUUUCACAUUGACACAUUCAGGAAAGUGGAGGCCACCUUAAAGCAAAGCCUGGCUCCCUCCUCCACCCUGGGCUCAGGAGCACUGUACAGGCUCCGGCUGGCACGCACCGCAGGAAACUGUCCCGGGUCUCAGCGGCCCUGGCUGUGGACGGCAUCUGAAACGGUCACUGUGGCUCUCCCUGCACCAGGGCCUACCUCAUUGCCAGGAAGCGGCACUGCUGGAGGAUACCUGGGCCCCGGGUUUUAUUGCUGGUGAACUUGGUCACCCACCUUCCAGUCACACGGUCCAGGGUGGUGGCAUGAUCAGAAUGGCUCUGGUGGUGCCCAUUUUGCUGAGAUGAAAGGAAUCGAUAUGUGUAAGCUACACUGAAUUCUGUGAUGCUGGCAAGUUGCCCCUGCUAGUCUUCAGCGCCAAGGGGAGAGCUCCCUGGAGGAGACAGCUGGAGACUCACUGCUGACCACCCAGGCAAGGCAAGUCAGAACUGAUGUGCCCAAAUCUAAAGUAGCCUGAGCUCCAAGCCUAACCAGCCCUCCCAUUCCUGGGCCAUGUUCCUUGUAAGGCCCCCAAAGACAUCCCCUUCUCAGGGGUAUUCUCACGCCCCUCUGCAAAAAAUCAGAUGAAAUCCCUGCUACUGAACCCCCACAACUGCCUGGCAGAUGUCCGGAGUCAGAUCACACAGCAUGGAUUCUUUUCCAUGGUCACUGUUACUAUAUCGAGUCCUCAUAUACAAGGAACUGGGGCCAAGCUUCUCUGGAUUGUCUUUGAAUGGAUUCCUCCCUGGCUUCCAUUGAAAGUGCUGCCGAAUCCAGUUUUCUGUCAUAUCGGAUUGAGCCACUUAAAAGUAAAACCGAUUUUUGGAUAGGAAUGUUCAGAAAUAUUCAAGGAACAUGGCUGUGGAUAAAUAACAGUCCAGUUUCUUUUGUCAACUGGAACAUAGGAGAUCCCUCCAUUGAACGGAAUGACUGUGUAGGUUUACAGGCAUCUUCUGGGUUUUGGAGUAAUGCUCACUGUUCUUCCUACAAGGGAUUCAUUUGUAAAAGGCCAAAAAUUAUUGAUGCCAAACCUACUCAUGAAUUACUUACAACAAAAGCUGACCCAAGAAAGAUAGAUCCUUCCAAACCAUCUUCCAACGUGGCCGGAGUAAUCAUUGUGAUCCUCCUGGUUUUAAUGGGUGCAGGCCUUGCUGCCUAUUUCUUUUACAAGACAAGACGUGUGCAGCUACCUCAAGAGGGCGCCUUUGAAAACACUCUGUAUUUUAACAGUCAGUCAAGCCCAGGAACUAGUGAUAGGAAAAAUCUCGUGGGCAACAUUGAACAGAAUGAACACGUGCUCAUCUAGUAUCUCAAUGUGAUUCUGAGAUGCUUGCAUUUCAUAAAAUUGUAACUGAAAUUUAAAAUGUUUAGUUCGAUGUGAUUGUUUCCUUUAAAAUGAACACUGAAUUGUACUGGUCUGUCCUUUUUUUCUUUGCCUAAUUGAAGAAAUAAUUGCUUGUUUUCUAGCCUGGCAAGAUGUUUUCACAAAAGAGGAAUAAUAAUGCUGAUUACUACCUUUUAAAAUAUCUUAGGUAAAUACACAGCACUACAGCACCAAAAUCUAAGCAUUAGUGAUGUGUAGCUGAUGUCAGCUUCCUGUGUUUUUUAAGAACUCUAGAAACAAUGAAGCUUCUUGGCAUAUUUUAAGGUGCCCCCAAAGUUGUGUUGCUAUUAAAUUGUAACUCAGCAAGUAGAAGACCAUUUGAAAAAUCAGGUACAAAUAGCCUCAAGUAGCAUAAAAAUGUAGUUAGUUUUCUCUUCUAUCAUUUUUUAUUUCCAUUCCAAUUACUUAGAAUCUUAUUUGUACAUGUGCAGAAGAAUAAGGCAGCAGAGAAUCUUGUUUCCUCCAAGAGAGUUUUACAGGCUGAGUGUUCCAAAUGUGUUCUUUGUCCUGAUAUAUGUAUAUCAGAAAUACAAGGAUGUGAAAUAAAAAUGUAAAUUUGCA
Molecule: RNA transcript, 4587 nt
Organism: Sapajus apella (tufted capuchin)
Lineage: Eukaryota; Metazoa; Chordata; Mammalia; Primates; Cebidae
Gene name: calmodulin-regulated spectrin-associated protein 3 pseudogene
Exons: 1
Source: RefSeq, a predicted model, not a curated record